RNAcentral lists this ribosomal RNA (609 nucleotides) under Triticum aestivum (bread wheat). Its description in RNAcentral is "partial small subunit ribosomal RNA". Lineage: Eukaryota; Viridiplantae; Streptophyta; Magnoliopsida; Poales; Poaceae. The record is from RNAcentral.
AUGUCCAUGCGCGACCGCGGCGCCUCCACCGUGUCCCCGUCGCUGCGCUUCCUCGGCUUCAUUAAGCAGCCGGAUGACGCCGGCGCUGCCGACCAGGAGCUCGAGCUCGACGAGCGCGACGUAGUCUGGUCGUCGUCCCCCUCCUUCUCCUCGGCCUCCACCGCCUCGUCGCCCUCGCCCACGCCGUCCCCGUCCGGGGGAAGCCACCGCUGGCCCCUCUCCUCCCGCGCGUUCCCGUCCGGCGGCGCCGGCCUGUCGUCGCUCAUCGCCGACGAGGACAACCACUCGCCCAGCGCGGCCAUCCCGGCCGCGGCCCGACGGGAGAAGCAGCCGCGCUCGCAGCCGUACCACCAGUCUGCGCCGGUGGCCGUGCCCGCCUGGUCCAAGGCGACGGCGGACAGGCGACGCCGGGAGGCGGAGCAAGAGGCCGCUGACGAGGAGGAAGAGUUGGAGGACGACGAACUCAUGGUGCCGCCGCAUGAGAUGGCCGCGCGCCGGGCCGCGGCGGCGGCGUCGGUGAUGGAGGGCGCUGGGCGGACGCUGAAGGGGCGCGACCUCCGGCGCAUGCGCAACGCCGUGUGGCGCACCACCGGCUUCCUCGACCUGUGA